GGUUAAGCGACUAAGCGUACACGGUGGAUGCCCUGGCAGUCAGAGGCGAUGAAGGACGUGCUAAUCUGCGAUAAGCGUCGGUAAGGUGAUAUGAACCGUUAUAACCGGCGAUUUCCGAAUGGGGAAACCCAGUGUGAUUCGUCACACUAUCAUUAACUGAAUCCAUAGGUUAAUGAGGCGAACCGGGGGAACUGAAACAUCUAAGUACCCCGAGGAAAAGAAAUCAACCGAGAUUCCCCCAGUAGCGGCGAGCGAACGGGGAGCAGCCCAGAGCCUGAAUCAGUGUGUGUGUUAGUGGAAGCGUCUGGAAAGGCGCGCGAUACAGGGUGACAGCCCCGUACACAAAAAUGCACAUACUGUGAGCUCGAUGAGUAGGGCGGGACACGUGGUAUCCUGUCUGAAUAUGGGGGGACCAUCCUCCAAGGCUAAAUACUCCUGACUGACCGAUAGUGAACCAGUACCGUGAGGGAAAGGCGAAAAGAACCCCGGCGAGGGGAGUGAAAAAGAACCUGAAACCGUGUACGUACAAGCAGUGGGAGCACAGAGCAAUCUGUGUGACUGCGUACCUUUUGUAUAAUGGGUCAGCGACUUAUAUUCUGUAGCAAGGUUAACCGAAUAGGGGAGCCGAAGGGAAACCGAGUCUUAACUGGGCGUUAAGUUGCAGGGUAUAGACCCGAAACCCGGUGAUCUAGCCAUGGGCAGGUUGAAGGUUGGGUAACACUAACUGGAGGACCGAACCGACUAAUGUUGAAAAAUUAGCGGAUGACUUGUGGCUGGGGGUGAAAGGCCAAUCAAACCGGGAGAUAGCUGGUUCUCCCCGAAAGCUAUUUAGGUAGCGCCUCGUGAAUUCAUCUCCGGGGGUAGAGCACUGUUUCGGCAAGGGGGUCAUCCCGACUUACCAACCCGAUGCAAACUGCGAAUACCGGAGAAUGUUAUCACGGGAGACACACGGCGGGUGCUAACGUCCGUCGUGAAGAGGGAAACAACCCAGACCGCCAGCUAAGGUCCCAAAGUCAUGGUUAAGUGGGAAACGAUGUGGGAAGGCCCAGACAGCCAGGAUGUUGGCUUAGAAGCAGCCAUCAUUUAAAGAAAGCGUAAUAGCUCACUGGUCGAGUCGGCCUGCGCGGAAGAUGUAACGGGGCUAAACCAUGCACCGAAGCUGCGGCAGCGACGCUUAUGCGUUGUUGGGUAGGGGAGCGUUCUGUAAGCCUGUGAAGGUGUGCUGUGAGGCAUGCUGGAGGUAUCAGAAGUGCGAAUGCUGACAUAAGUAACGAUAAAGCGGGUGAAAAGCCCGCUCGCCGGAAGACCAAGGGUUCCUGUCCAACGUUAAUCGGGGCAGGGUGAGUCGACCCCUAAGGCGAGGCCGAAAGGCGUAGUCGAUGGGAAACAGGUUAAUAUUCCUGUACUUGGUGUUACUGCGAAGGGGGGACGGAGAAGGCUAUGUUGGCCGGGCGACGGUUGUCCCGGUUUAAGCGUGUAGGCUGGUUUUCCAGGCAAAUCCGGAAAAUCAAGGCUGAGGCGUGAUGACGAGGCACUACGGUGCUGAAGCAACAAAUGCCCUGCUUCCAGGAAAAGCCUCUAAGCAUCAGGUAACAUCAAAUCGUACCCCAAACCGACACAGGUGGUCAGGUAGAGAAUACCAAGGCGCUUGAGAGAACUCGGGUGAAGGAACUAGGCAAAAUGGUGCCGUAACUUCGGGAGAAGGCACGCUGAUAUGUAGGUGAAGUCCCUCGCGGAUGGAGCUGAAAUCAGUCGAAGAUACCAGCUGGCUGCAACUGUUUAUUAAAAACACAGCACUGUGCAAACACGAAAGUGGACGUAUACGGUGUGACGCCUGCCCGGUGCCGGAAGGUUAAUUGAUGGGGUCAGCGCAAGCGAAGCUCUUGAUCGAAGCCCCGGUAAACGGCGGCCGUAACUAUAACGGUCCUAAGGUAGCGAAAUUCCUUGUCGGGUAAGUUCCGACCUGCACGAAUGGCGUAAUGAUGGCCAGGCUGUCUCCACCCGAGACUCAGUGAAAUUGAACUCGCUGUGAAGAUGCAGUGUACCCGCGGCAAGACGGAAAGACCCCGUGAACCUUUACUAUAGCUUGACACUGAACAUUGAGCCUUGAUGUGUAGGAUAGGUGGGAGGCUUAGAAGUGUGGACGCCAGUCUGCAUGGAGCCGACCUUGAAAUACCACCCUUUAAUGUUUGAUGUUCUAACGUUGACCCGUAAUCCGGGUUGCGGACAGUGUCUGGUGGGUAGUUUGACUGGGGCGGUCUCCUCCUAAAGAGUAACGGAGGAGCACGAAGGUUGGCUAAUCCUGGUCGGACAUCAGGAGGUUAGUGCAAUGGCAUAAGCCAGCUUGACUGCGAGCGUGACGGCGCGAGCAGGUGCGAAAGCAGGUCAUAGUGAUCCGGUGGUUCUGAAUGGAAGGGCCAUCGCUCAACGGAUAAAAGGUACUCCGGGGAUAACAGGCUGAUACCGCCCAAGAGUUCAUAUCGACGGCGGUGUUUGGCACCUCGAUGUCGGCUCAUCACAUCCUGGGGCUGAAGUAGGUCCCAAGGGUAUGGCUGUUCGCCAUUUAAAGUGGUACGCGAGCUGGGUUUAGAACGUCGUGAGACAGUUCGGUCCCUAUCUGCCGUGGGCGCUGGAGAACUGAGGGGGGCUGCUCCUAGUACGAGAGGACCGGAGUGGACGCAUCACUGGUGUUCGGGUUGUCAUGCCAAUGGCACUGCCCGGUAGCUAAAUGCGGAAGAGAUAAGUGCUGAAAGCAUCUAAGCACGAAACUUGCCCCGAGAUGAGUUCUCCCUGACUCCUUGAGAGUCCUGAAGGAACGUUGAAGACGACGACGUUGAUAGGCCGGGUGUGUAAGCGCAGCGAUGCGUUGAGCUAACCGGUACUAAUGAACCGUGAGGCUUAACCUU
RNAcentral lists this ribosomal RNA (2906 nucleotides) under Escherichia coli. RNAcentral's name for it is "23S ribosomal RNA". It matches the Rfam family "Bacterial large subunit ribosomal RNA". Lineage: Bacteria; Pseudomonadati; Pseudomonadota; Gammaproteobacteria; Enterobacterales; Enterobacteriaceae. The record is from RNAcentral.